GUCCCUGCAGUGCGAUGGAUAGCGUGUUGGACUUUAAAUUCAAAGGUCGUGGGUUCGAUUACCACCUGGGAUG
RNAcentral lists this transfer RNA (73 nucleotides) under Trichonephila inaurata madagascariensis. It matches the Rfam family "tRNA". Rfam says of the family: Transfer RNA (tRNA) molecules are approximately 80 nucleotides in length. Their secondary structure includes four short double-helical elements and three loops (D, anti-codon, and T loops). The record is from Rfam by way of RNAcentral. Lineage: Eukaryota; Metazoa; Arthropoda; Arachnida; Araneae; Nephilidae.